Long non-coding RNA from Seriola aureovittata, 767 nucleotides. RefSeq lists it as uncharacterized. The transcript has 3 exons. The record is from RefSeq and is a predicted model, not a curated record. NCBI's taxonomy places the organism in Eukaryota, Metazoa, Chordata, Actinopteri, Carangiformes, Carangidae.
AGCCUCAAAGCAGGCCGGGUAACAUAGAGGUUUCCUAAAACAUAAAAAACAAACAAACAAACAAACAAACAACAAACAAACAAACAAACAGUGGAGCAGCAAAGAGAAAGGCAGAGAAAGAAAGUUAUAUCAGAGAAACUGAAAUUCGGAAAGCAUACACUAUAUCUGGAUUUUUUUCGUAAGUCGUCUUGCUAGCCAUUAGCAAAGAGCCCGGAGGUGGAAGAUGCUAACGUCGAAGAGAAGAAGGACAGAACGCGACAGAAGCAGCAGAACAAAGGUAGAGAGCCACAACCCUGUGACAGCCACCUGUUCAACUGACCCUCAUCUCCACUGGAGCCUUACGCCGUUGCUGAUGACAGAGACCCGGUUGGUCUGAAAGUCAGGUGUGUCAUGCGAGUGGCAGAUAACGGCAGGUAACAAGCAGAGACGAGGAGCAGCCUGCAGCAGAGGUCUGUUAACAGGUGUACUACAAGACCCCAUGACAUCACAGCAAAGCACACCUCUGACCACACCUGUCAAGCUUGAGAGUCUCAAGCAGAGAGGGCAUCAACACAGUCCUUUUCACCCUGGUGUGAAGAUCUCUUGAAACACACUUUAGGUGUUGGUCUUGAUUUCUUAUUACAAAAUAAACUAAAUUAAAUGAUCUUCAUUAACUAAAUUGAGUACAAUACAGGCAGCCAUGACACUUUUCUUACCACCUUUCUUUUGGUUUGUAUAUUAUUAAUCAAACCUGUCUCCUACAAAUUAAUGUCCAUAUACUACUAAAC